CCGAAAGGCGUAGUCGAUGGGAAUCAGGUUAAUAUUCCUGAACCUUCUUGCUGUGACGAAUCCCGUGUAUUGUCAAGCCUUAUUGGAUUGGUUUGGCAGUGAAGGGGUUCCAGGAAAUAGCACAAGAAUUAAGACCGUACCCCAAACCGACACUGGUGGACAGGUAGAGUAUACCAAGGCGAUUGAGAAAAUGAUGUUGAAGGAACUCGGCAAAAUGCCCCUGUAACUUCGGGAGAAAGGGGACCUCCAUUUGGGCAACCAGGUGGAGGUGGCACAGACCAGGGGGUGACGACUGUUUACCAAAAACACAGGACUCUGCUAAGUCGCAAGACGAAGUAUAGGGUCUGACGCCUGCCCGG
RNAcentral lists this ribosomal RNA (359 nucleotides) under uncultured Vannella. RNAcentral's name for it is "partial Bacterial large subunit ribosomal RNA". It matches the Rfam family "Bacterial large subunit ribosomal RNA", at positions 1402 to 1866 of the family's 2925-position model. Lineage: Eukaryota; Discosea; Flabellinia; Vannellidae. The record is from RNAcentral.